This 48-nucleotide non-coding RNA is filed under the name Schistosoma mansoni. Lineage: Eukaryota; Metazoa; Platyhelminthes; Trematoda; Strigeidida; Schistosomatidae. The record is from RNAcentral.
AUCCAGCUGACAAGUCCCAAAUAGGACGAAACGCCCAUCAAACUGGAU